GAUUCACUAGCUCAGUCGGUAGAGCACUUGACUUUUAAUCAAGUUGUCCGGGGUUCGAUUCCCCGGUGGAUCACCA
This 76-nucleotide transfer RNA is filed under the name Clostridium sp. Its description in RNAcentral is "tRNA-Lys". It matches the Rfam family "tRNA". From Rfam's summary of the family: Transfer RNA (tRNA) molecules are approximately 80 nucleotides in length. Their secondary structure includes four short double-helical elements and three loops (D, anti-codon, and T loops). The record is from RNAcentral. RNAcentral also lists the same sequence under 13 other names. Lineage: Bacteria; Bacillati; Bacillota; Clostridia; Eubacteriales; Clostridiaceae.